GCUUCUGAUUGAUCAUAUAGUUAGCAGCGCCCAUGUUAAAGUGACAUGCUUGAAACUCCUUAGCUUGGUUGUUGACCUUGGAGACGCUGUUUAUUGGAUGAACUCUAGAAUUUACAAAAAAUUACACUGAUAUGUUAUCUUUUACAUGGCAUUUCUAGUUACUAAUGCAGUAAAAUAAAAAUGCACAAAUGUGAUAAAUUAGAGUACAUGAGCACGCCAACCAUUGGAUGGGAAUGAAAUCCUACAUUGAUGGUUGGUGAUGCACAAAUCAAUAGAUGGAAGAAGAACGG
Molecule: unclassified non-coding RNA, 290 nt
Filed under: Hevea brasiliensis (rubber tree)
Lineage: Eukaryota; Viridiplantae; Streptophyta; Magnoliopsida; Malpighiales; Euphorbiaceae
Source: RNAcentral